AGCAACAAGAAAAGGAGGUAGUUGGGAAUAUUUGGAUAAUAAGAUUUAAGAUUGGUUUAGAUUUUUCUAUACCAUUUACUAGAUUUUUAUCUUUUUAUUUUGAGAUUUUUAAAGAAGUUAGAACGUAUUUUUAACUUUCUAAUAAGCCUUUGCAUACAAAAAAAGAAGUUGUGACAUAGAAGUUCUAAGCUAAUUUAUAGAUGGAAAUCUUGAAGACUUUGGCUAUGGCAAGCAGCCAACUUUUUCUUAGUUUGGCUCUUUUUUUUUAUUUAUUUAUUAAAUUUGAUAUUUUGAAGUUUGUAUCUUG
Molecule: long non-coding RNA, 307 nt
Filed under: Physcomitrium patens
Lineage: Eukaryota; Viridiplantae; Streptophyta; Bryopsida; Funariales; Funariaceae
Description: long non-coding RNA (PPAT_LNC010785)
Source: RNAcentral